Molecule: long non-coding RNA, 350 nt
Organism: Oncorhynchus keta (chum salmon)
Lineage: Eukaryota; Metazoa; Chordata; Actinopteri; Salmoniformes; Salmonidae
Exons: 4
Source: RefSeq, a predicted model, not a curated record
GUAGAGUCUGGUAGAACCAGGCAGAGUCUGGCAGAGUCUGGUAGAGUUUGGUUAAACCAGGUAGAGUCAGGUAGAGUCUGGUAGAACCGGGUAGAGUCUGAUAGAACCGGGUAGAGUCUGGUAGAACCGGGUAGAGUCUGGUAGAACCGGGUAGAGUCUGGUAGAGUCUGGUAGAACCGGGUAGAGUCUGGUAGAACCGGGUAGAGUCUGGUAGAACCGGGUAGAGUCUGGUAGAGUCUGGUAGAACCGGGUAGAGUCUGGUAGAGUCAGGUAGAACCGGGUAGAGUCUGGUAGAACCGGGUAGAGUCUGGUAGAGUCUGGUAGAACCGGGUAGAGUCUGGUAGAACCGG